UGAGAGGGUGACCGGCCACACUGGGACUGAGACACGGCCCAGACUCCUACGGGAGGCAGCAGUGGGGAAUCUUGCGCAAUGGGCGAAAGCCUGACGCAGCGACGCCGCGUGGGGGACGAAGGCCUUCGGGUUGUAAACCUCUUUCAGCAGGGAAGAAGCGAGAGUGACGGUACCUGCAGAAGAAGCACCGGCUAACUACGUGCCAGCAGCCGCGGUAAUACGUAGGGUGCAAGCGUUGUCCGGAAUUAUUGGGCGUAAAGAGCUCGUAGGUGGCGGGUCACGUCGGGUGUGAAAGCCCGGGGCUUAACCCCGGGUCUGCAUUCGAUACGGGCUUGCUAGGGUCCGGCAGGGGAGACUGGAAUUCCUGGUGUAGCGGUGAAAUGCGCAGAUAUCAGGAGGAACACCGGUGGCGAAGGCGGGUCUCUGGGCCGGUACCGACGCUGAGGAGCGAAAGCGUGGGGAGCGAACAGGAUUAGAUACCCUGGUAGUCCACGCCGUAAACGUUGGGCGCUAGGUGUGGGGAGCAUUCCACGUUCUCUGUGCCGUAGCUAACGCAUUAAGCGCCCCGCCUGGGGAGU
Molecule: ribosomal RNA, 578 nt
Filed under: uncultured bacterium
Lineage: Bacteria
Description: bacterial SSU rRNA
Rfam family: Bacterial small subunit ribosomal RNA
Source: RNAcentral